CAGCCGCCGCGGGAAAACGAAGGGCGCAAGCGUUAAUCGGAAUUACUGGGCGUAAAGGGUGCGUAGGCGGUUUGUUAAGACAGAUGUGAAAUCCCCGGGCUCAACCUGGGAACUGCAUUUGUGACGUCAAGACUAGAGUGUGAGAGAGGGUUGUGGAAUUCCCAGUGUAGAGGUGAAAUUCGUAGAUAUUGGGAAGAACACCGGUGGCGAAGGCGGCAACCUGGCUCAUUACUGGCGCUGAGGCGCGAAGCGUGGGGAGCAAACAGGAUUAGAUACCCGCGUAGUCCCUGUCUCUUAUACA
This 301-nucleotide ribosomal RNA is filed under the name uncultured bacterium. Its description in RNAcentral is "partial 16S ribosomal RNA". It matches the Rfam family "Bacterial small subunit ribosomal RNA", at positions 509 to 808 of the family's 1533-position model. The record is from RNAcentral.